This is a long non-coding RNA of Syngnathus typhle (broad-nosed pipefish), 1079 nucleotides long. RefSeq lists it as uncharacterized. Lineage: Eukaryota; Metazoa; Chordata; Actinopteri; Syngnathiformes; Syngnathidae. The transcript is spliced from 4 exons. The record is from RefSeq and is a predicted model, not a curated record.
AAAAAGGAAUACAUAACUUGGCGUGUUCCUGCUGAAAAAUUUCUUUAGUAUCCAACAUCAUGCUAAUUUAAUUUCGCACCCAAAAAACUUAUUCUUAGUAGUCUUAACCAUUCCAAUUCUGGAAGAAAAAAAACAGUGGAUUAAAAAAUAAUCGGAGUUAAGCUCUGUUUAUUUUAAUUACCACUGUGCGCAUGUUUUUUUUUCUGUUUUGGGAUUUAGUAUAGAACAGAGGAACAAAAAAAAAAAAAAAGUAAAUGUUGUGACAGGCUCUCCCCUCUCGGGGGCGAUGCAGACCAGGGUUUUCCCUCCUGCCAGAGCAACAACCAGUUCUAUUUUUAGCCCCGUUGAUCGUUUCAGGCUUCAUUCUUUCUUUGUCUUGCAUACAGAAAAAAACCCCAUAAAUGUUUUAAGCAAUCCUGUUCUUUACGCGAAAAAAACAUUCAUUUGUAUGGAUUACACCAAAUGAUGUUUUGUGCCAUUGAAAGCAUUUAGGAAACAUUUUCACAUUGGACUUAAAUUCUCCAAUAUCUGCCUUGUUAUUGACAUGAUAAACAUAUGUUGCCAAAAAAGGCCUAAAAAUCAAUGCAAAUUACAAUGAACACAUUUGAAUCGAAACACACAAUCUGGGUCCGUGAACUGGAUGUUAUUGCAUUAUAUUUUGAAUGAAAAGCCCCGUGAGCAUUACACCCUGAUUUAUUAUUAAUUUUUAAAAUAUUGUCUCGGCAAUCCACUCAGUCCAUCUUCCGUGGUACCUUUCAGGUCCUCUUUGAACGUCGCCCCUUUGACCAGCAGGGGGCGGUAAGCAACCGUGGGAAAAGAACUCUAGUGAUUGAUCGUGACCAGAUCCUUCCUAUAACUCACACAUCGGAUCAUCCGCUCCAAUGGAAACGCAAGAAAGAAAUUCCACCAACUGACAGCGCCACCUAUGGCUUUGAAGCCCGUUCUUCCUCACAACUUGAAGACUUCUUGAGCUCCAAGUACCAAAAGGCGAGAAUCGCAAGCUCCCACGACAUCAGAGCCUACGGUCCACCUCAAUUCAAGUGGAUGAUUCAUAACUGCUAAUUUUGUCCUGACGCCGC